CAGUAGCCGCGGUAAUACGAAGGGUGCAAGCGUUACUCGGCAUUACUGGGCGUAAAGCGUGCGUAGGUGGUGGUUUAAGUCCGUUGUGAAAGCCCUGGGCUCAACCUGGGAAUUGCAGUGGAUACUGGGUCACUAGAGUGUGGUAGAGGAUAGUGGAAUUUCCGGUGUAGCAGUGAAAUGUGUAGAGAUCGGAAGGAACAUCUGUGGCGAAGGCGACUAUCUGGGCCAACACUGACACUGAGGCACGAAAGCGUGGGGAGCAAACAGGAUUAGAUACCCGCGUAGUCCCUGUCUCUUAUAC
This 301-nucleotide ribosomal RNA is filed under the name uncultured bacterium. RNAcentral's name for it is "partial 16S ribosomal RNA". It matches the Rfam family "Bacterial small subunit ribosomal RNA", at positions 509 to 807 of the family's 1533-position model. The record is from RNAcentral.